Molecule: ribosomal RNA, 2033 nt
Filed under: Parahaemophilus parainfluenzae
Lineage: Bacteria; Pseudomonadati; Pseudomonadota; Gammaproteobacteria; Pasteurellales; Pasteurellaceae
Description: Haemophilus parainfluenzae partial 23S ribosomal RNA
Rfam family: Bacterial large subunit ribosomal RNA
Source: RNAcentral
UUGUUAGUUUUAGUGGGCAUUCGGUGGAUGCCUUGGCACUCAGAGCUGAUGAAGGACGUGGCGGUCUGCGAUAUGCCUUAGGGAGUUGACGAGCGAGCGUUGAUCUAAGGAUUUCCGAAUGGGGGAACCUAGCUGGUGUUAUGGCCAGUUACCACUGCCUGAAUGAAAUAGGGUUGUGGGGGGAACGCGGGGAAGUGAAACAUCUCAGUACCCGUAGGAAAAGAUAUUCCGUGAGUAGUGGCGAGCGAAAGCGGAGGAGGCUAAACCUUGUGCGUGUGAUAGGCGGCGGCCGUUGCGUAUGGGGUGUUGUGGGGCAUGAUCGUCUACCUUCUGCCGGGGGUGGGCAUGGCGUGUUGUUGGUGGUUGAACCUCUUGGGAUGGGGGACCGUAGUGCGUGAUAGUCGCGUAGGCCAGCUGGUAGGGCGCCGUGUGGGUUGUGUUCCCGAGUAGUGCGGGACUCGUGAAAUCUCGUGUGAAUCUGCCAGGACCACCUGGUAAGCCUAAAUACUACUGAGUGACCGAUAGUGCAUAGUACCGUGAGGGAAUGGUGAAAAGUACCCCGGGAGGGGAGUGAAAUAGUACCUGAAACCGUGUGCUUGUAAGCCGUCAGAGCCUUGUGGGGUGAUGGCGUGCCUUUUGAAGAAUGAGCCUGCGAGUCAGUGGCACGUGGCGUGCUUAACCCGUGUGGGGUAUGCGUAGCGAAAGCGAGUCUGAAAUAUGGCGUUUGUCGCGUGUUCUGGACCCGAAGCGGGGUGAUCUACCCAUGGCCAGGUUGAAGCAAGGGUAAGACUUUGUGGAGGACCGAACCCACCAGGGUUGAAAACCUGGGGGAUGAGCUGUGGGUAGGGGUGAAAGGCCAAUCAAACUCCGUGAUAGCUGGUUCUCCCCGAAAUGCAUUUAGGUGCAGCGUUGUGUGGUUCCUGUUGGAGGUAGAGCUACUGGAUGGCCGAUGGGCCCUGUGGGUUACUGACGUCAGCCAAACUCCGAAUGCCAAUAGGGUAGAGCACGGCAGUGAGACUGCGGGGGAUAAGCUUCGUAGUCGAGAGGGAAACAGCCCAGAUCAUCAGCUAAGGCCCCUAAGUGUGCGCUAAGUGGGAAAGGAUGUGGAGUCGCGGUGACAACCAGGAGGUUGGCUUAGAAGCAGCCACCCUUGAAAGAGUGCGUAAUAGCUCACUGGUCAAGUGAUUUCGCGCCGACAAUGUAGCGGGGCUUAAGCGUACCGCCGAAGCUGUGGCAACAACACGUAUGCUGGCGUCAUUUAAUGAUUGUUGGUGUGUUGUUGGGUAGGGGAGCGUCCUGCAUGAGGUGAAGCCCGGGGGUAACCUCUGGUGGAUUGUGUGGGAGUGAGAAUGCAGGCAUGAGUAGCGAAUCUGCGGUGAGAAUCCGCAGCGCCGAUUGACUAAGGGUUCCAGGGCCAGGUUUAUCCGCCCUGGGUUAGUCGGGUCCUAAGGCGAGGCCGACAGGCGUAGUCGAUGGAUAACCAGUUGAUAUUCUGGUACCGCCUAGCAACCGUCCAAUACCGAGAUCAUCAUGCUAACCAAUUUUGCCGGCCAACAAUCGUGCCUUUCGGGGCGUGGUUUGAGGCUGGUCUUGGGACCCGGUGGUGGAGGUAAGCGUAUUAACAGGGGUGACGCAGAAAGGUAGCUGCAGUGGGCUGAUGGUUUAGCCUAUUUAAGGUUGUGGCCCGUCUUUCAGGUAAAUCCGGAAGACUUGUGGGUGAGAACUGAUGAGGGACGCUUUUAGAGUGGACUUGUGGUGAUCCUAAGCUGCCGAGAAAAGCCUCGACGCGAGGGGGCAAGGCGCCCGUACCCUAAACCGACUCAGGUGGUCAGGUAGAGUAUACCGAGGCGUUCGAGUGAAUCAUGGUUAAGGAACUCGGCAAAAUUCCUCCGUAACUUCGGGAUAAGGAGGACCCCGUGGUUUCCCAACACCUAGCGUGUUGGUGGGGCCGUGGGGUCGCAGAGAAUAGGGAGAAGCGACUGUUUAUCAAAAACACAGGUGCGUGCGAAGCCGUAAGGCGAUGUAUACGCACU